Dromaius novaehollandiae (emu) is the source of this 1319-nucleotide long non-coding RNA. RefSeq lists it as uncharacterized. The transcript is spliced from 3 exons. The record is from RefSeq and is a predicted model, not a curated record. Lineage: Eukaryota; Metazoa; Chordata; Aves; Casuariiformes; Dromaiidae.
CUGCAUAGCUGGUAAAUUUCCUACCUCUUGGUAGAGGUAAUCCCUUAUGUGAAGGCAGAAGCACAGAGGAAGCUUCAACCAAUUUGGACAGCAGAAUUCUCAAGGUCCUCAAAGUGGGAGUCAAGCAGGAUGUCAAAUUUAUUACAGAAGUCCAACGUUUAAUGAGAUAACUGACCUAAGCGGAGAUCCAGAGCCAUGAAAAGAUGAAGUGCAGCCAAGGCUUUUGAAGGAGGAUAGGAAUGGAGUGAUUACUCUACUCUGAGACAGGUUUCCAUAUUCUCUAUUUGUAUUUCAGAAUAGCCCUUAAUGUUCUGUUGAGCAGAGAUUUCUGCUCUCUGUUUAGAAGCUGUAGUAGUGCUGUAAUACUUAUCUGCGAUGAAGAUUACCUAGAGAGCUCUGACUGGAGAAAGCCUUGUGUGGCCUCUUCAUACCUUGUCCAAGGAACGCUGAAGAGUAAAUCACUAAGCGAUGUUGAGAUUCUUUUCUUCACACAGCAAAACCCAUUGCAGUUUUUCAAAAAUCUAUUUCUGUCUGCCUGUUUUUUCCUAUCCUCCCCACUUUCCACAAUGUCACUUUUAGUUUAGUGAAGUCUUCCAUGUAAGCUUUUUAUGUGUCAGAUUAGGUUAUGUCCGAGGACAUAAUGCAACUUGACCCAGUCAAACAUUUGAGAAAAUUUUGAUUUUUGUAGUUUUACUUAGGCAAUUCUCAUAUGUUUGUUGCUGCUUGCAUGACAUCUCUAGUUUUUGAUAUGUCAUGUAACUGUACUCUGUUGCAUGUACAAUUGACCUAAUUACGUUCCCACUUGUAGGGAAGAAAAAGGAAGUUCAAAUGACUCCUGGCAUGCAUGUUUUAUAAAUGAAAAAAGCUUUGUUUGUUUGUUUACUAAUUGGCUUGCAGGUCUUGUUAAGAGUUGAGGAGUAAAUGGCUCUUGGGACCAACAGCGACAACAGGUAAAGUAUUAAAACAAGAUAAGAAAUUACGUCAAAAAUAUAGUUGAUAUCAUUAACAUUAACUCAAAGGGCAUAUUUUUGUUAUAAAAAUAUUCCUCUCUGUGUUGUUCCAUUUAAUUUAAAUUUAAAGAGGCUGUAAAGCAGAUUAAAUAUAUCCCUCAAUAGAGAAAAAGGCAGUUUUAAUUGAAUAUAAUUUUCCAGCUCUCUUGUCUCUGGGUUAUUUUGUUUGUUGGUCAUCAAAUAUACAAUUUAAUAAAUGUUUUCUUCAACCACUUUACAUUUCUCUUUCAAAAUUUAAAUGUACUCAUAAAUUUUAUAGUAGACUGUGGAAACAUAUUUAAGUCUGUAAUGAGUUUUGUCAAAAUAUGC